GGUUGAUCCUGCCAGUAGUCAUAUGCUUGUCUCAAAGAUUAAGCCAUGCAUGUCUAAGUAUAAACAAGUUUAUACAGUGAAACUGCGUACAGCUCAUUAUAUCAGUUAUGAUUUAUUUGAUGGUACCUUACUACAUGGAUACCCGUAGUAAUUCUAGAGCUAAUACAUGCGUAAAAUCCCGACUACUUGUUGGAAGGGAUGUAUUUAUUAGAUUCAAACCCAAUGCAGUAGCAAUACUGGUUCAAUUGGUGACUCAUAGUAACUUGUCGAAUCGCAUGGCCUUGUGCUGGCG
RNAcentral lists this ribosomal RNA (292 nucleotides) under uncultured eukaryote. RNAcentral's name for it is "partial 18S ribosomal RNA". It matches the Rfam family "Eukaryotic small subunit ribosomal RNA", at positions 6 to 289 of the family's 1831-position model. The record is from RNAcentral.